RNAcentral lists this ribosomal RNA (515 nucleotides) under Acrapex stygiata. RNAcentral describes it as "partial 16S ribosomal RNA". Lineage: Eukaryota; Metazoa; Arthropoda; Insecta; Lepidoptera; Noctuidae. The record is from RNAcentral.
AUGUCUUUUUGAAAAUAAUAUAAAGUUUAAUCUGCCCACUGAUUUAUAAAUUGAAGGGCUGCAGUAUAUUGACUGUACAAAGGUAGCAUAAUCAUUAGUCAUUUAAUUGAUGACUUGUAUGAAGGAUUGGAUGAGAUAUAAACUGUCUCUUAUUUAAUUAUAAAAUUUAAUUUUUUUAUUAAAAAGUUAAAAUAAUUUAAAAAGACGAGAAGACCCUAUAGAGUUUAAUAAGUAUUAAAAUUAAGAUUAUUUUGAAAUAUAAACUUGAAAUUUGAUUAUUUAUUUUAUUGGGGUGAUAGAAAAAUAUAUAAAACUUUUUUUAAAAAUAAAACAUUUAUAAGUGGUUAAAUGAUCCGGUAUUAUUGAUUAUAAGAAAAAAUUACCUUAGGGAUAACAGCGUAAUUUUUUUUUUUAGUUCAAAUAAGAAAAAGAGUUUGCGACCUCGAUGUUGGAUUAAGAUAAAAUUUAAAUGUAGAAGUUUAAAAUUUUGAUCUGUUCGAUCAUUAAAAUCUUAC